UAGGGAAUAUUAGUAAUGGGCGAAAGCCUGAACUAGCAAUGCCGCGUGUGCAAAGAAGGCCUUCGGGUUGUAAAGCACUUUUUGAGAGGAUGAGGAAGGACGGUACUCUCAGAAUAAGUCUCGGCUAACUACGUGCCAGCAGCCGCGGUAACACGUAGGAGGCGAACGUUAUCCGGAUUUACUGGGCGUAAAGCGCGUGUAGGUGGUUUGGUAAGUAGGGCGUGAAAGCUCCUGGCUCAACUGGGAGAGGCCGUUCUAAACUGCCGAACUAGAGGAUGGUAGAGGGAGGUGGAAUUCCGGGUGUAGCGGUGGAAUGCGCAGAUAUCCGGAGGAGCACCAGUGGCGAAAGCGGCCUCCUGGACCAUUCCUGACACUCAGACGCGAAAGCUAGGGUAGCAAACGG
RNAcentral lists this ribosomal RNA (403 nucleotides) under uncultured bacterium. Its description in RNAcentral is "bacterial SSU rRNA". It matches the Rfam family "Bacterial small subunit ribosomal RNA", at positions 355 to 775 of the family's 1533-position model. The record is from RNAcentral.